Molecule: ribosomal RNA, 1092 nt
Filed under: Triticum aestivum (bread wheat)
Lineage: Eukaryota; Viridiplantae; Streptophyta; Magnoliopsida; Poales; Poaceae
Description: partial small subunit ribosomal RNA
Source: RNAcentral
UCUCGUAGGUUAAGUUAGUAGAGGAUGACCUCAUUGAACGAUCGCUACCGGAGGAGGAGGAGGAGACAGCGGCAGCGCCGCCGGGACGACGAGACGUAGGAGCGGCGCGUGCCGGUGCCGACGACGCGGUUCGCGUCGUCGUUGUCGCCGCCAUUCUUCAGGGUGAGGGUGGUGCGCGGGGGCGUGCGGGUGCCCCGCGGCGGAGGAAGAAGGGGCGGCCGGUAGCCAGGUGGCAGGAUGCCGAUGCCUAGGGGAGGAGGGGGCCGACGGUAGGGCGGAGGAGGACGCCGGUGGGGCAGGGGAGGGCGCCGGUUAAGGUCGAGGUUGUCGUGGUUACAGCUGCGGCCGCCGACCGAGCUGCGGUCCCGGUGGACCAUGCCGCGCGGGUUCCCGCGGCCCGGGCUGCUGUUGCCGCCGCGGACGCCCAAGUUCUUGCAGUUGGACGGCGGGAAGAGGCGGUACUGGAGGACGCCGUUGCUCGGCGAGAAGUUCCUGCCGUUCCCUACGCCGAGUACGAUGGUCUAUGCCACGCACAGCCGCCCGGUGGGCCGCACGAGCCCGCACGGCCUCUGCCACUAGUAGUGCCUGUACUUGAUGAUGGGCCACAGGGCGAAGGUGAAGCUGGAGUCGCCGUGGCGGAAGCCGCGGUACCGGUUCCUGCCGGCGUUGCUGCUCGAGGCGGUGCGGCCGUAGUAGCUGUACGUCAAGUCCUCCCACGGCACGGUCAUGGGCCCCGACUGCCACUGCAAGGUGCAUGUCGUGCCCAGCUUGGGCAUGAUGGACCGCUAGGACCACCUCAUGCUCUUGCCUCUGCCGCUGCACCUGGUCCACCUGUAGUACGUCAGCGCCGGCCUGCAGCGGCCUCUUCCGCCCUACCGCGGCUGCCCCCUCACCCACGGCUACUGGCUCAGCACCCCCAGGUAGACCGCCUACCUGUGCGCCGCGGGGUACGUCCCGGGGAAGAGCGACGCGUAGUGGUUGCUCAGGCCGUUCUGCGAGCAGCGGCUGGUCCAGUAGGGGCGGCUGACCCUCGGGUUGCUCUAGAUGUCGAGGUAGUAGGUCAAGCUGAUCGGGUAGUUUAUAACUAGGUGU